Molecule: unclassified non-coding RNA, 265 nt
Organism: Callithrix jacchus (white-tufted-ear marmoset)
Lineage: Eukaryota; Metazoa; Chordata; Mammalia; Primates; Cebidae
Rfam family: Metazoan signal recognition particle RNA
About the family: The signal recognition particle (SRP) is a universally conserved ribonucleoprotein.
Source: Ensembl
UCUGGGGCAUGGUGGCACAUGCCUGUAGUCCCAGCUACUCGGAAGACUGAGGCAGGAGGAUCGCUUGAGCCCAGGAGUUCUGAUAUCGUUCAGGUGUCUGCACUAACUUCGGCAUCAAUAUGGUGACCUCCAGGGAGUGAGGGACCACCAGGUUGCCUAAGGAGGGUGUGAACCAGCCCAGGUCAGAAACAGAGCAGGUCAAAACUCCUGUUCUAAUCAGAAAGCCCUCUGGCUCCCAGAUUAAGGCUACACUGUACUGCUGAAU